CAGCAGCCGCGGUAAUACGAAGGGUGCAAGCGUUACUCGGAAUUACUGGGCGUAAAGCGUGCGUAGGUGGUGGUUUAAGUCCGUUGUGAAAGCCCUGGGCUCAACCUGGGAAUUGCAGUGGAUACUGGGUCACUAGAGUGUGGUAGAGGAUAGUGGAAUUUCCGGUGUAGCAGUGAAAUGCGUAGAGAUCGGAAGGAACAUCUGUGGCGAAGGCGACUAUCUGGGCCAACACUGACACUGAGGCACGAAAGCGUGGGGAGCAAACAGGAUUAGAUACCCCAGUAGUCCUGUCUCUUAUACA
Molecule: ribosomal RNA, 301 nt
Filed under: uncultured bacterium
Lineage: Bacteria
Description: partial 16S ribosomal RNA
Rfam family: Bacterial small subunit ribosomal RNA
Source: RNAcentral